UACGGGGGGAGCAAGCGUUGUUCGGAUUUACGUGGCGAUGAAGGCGCGGUAGGCGGUCGUGACAAGUCACUUGUGAAAUCUCCGGGCUUAACUCGGAACGGUCAAGUGAUACUGUCGGACUAGAGUACAGAAGGGGCAACUGGAAUUCUCGGUGUAGCGGUGAAAUGCGUAGAUAUCGAGAGGAACACCUGCGGCGAAGGCGGGUUGCUGGGCUGAUACUGACGCUGAGGCGCGAAAGCCAGGGGAGCGAACGGG
This 255-nucleotide ribosomal RNA is filed under the name uncultured bacterium. RNAcentral describes it as "partial 16S ribosomal RNA". It matches the Rfam family "Bacterial small subunit ribosomal RNA", at positions 524 to 776 of the family's 1533-position model. The record is from RNAcentral.